AGCUAGUUUUACAAAGAUGUUUAUUUUUUAGACUCUGAGCGUAGCGAGAGAGCUAUUGGUUUUACAAUGCAGUUUAUUGUUGCCUUAUUUGUUCUAGUCUGUAGGCACGAUUUUUCCUAACAAACUUACUCCGAUUUUUACACGUAGCAAAUUUUCUGAAAGCUCAAGUUAUCUAGACGGUCUUUUAAACAGUUUAUUUUU
Non-coding RNA from Cinara cedri, 201 nucleotides. Lineage: Eukaryota; Metazoa; Arthropoda; Insecta; Hemiptera; Aphididae. The record is from the annotation of a GenBank genome assembly.